Molecule: ribosomal RNA, 301 nt
Filed under: uncultured bacterium
Lineage: Bacteria
Description: partial 16S ribosomal RNA
Rfam family: Bacterial small subunit ribosomal RNA
Source: RNAcentral
CAGUCGCCGCGGUAAUAUGGAGGGUGCAAGCGUUAAUCGGAAUUACUGGGCGUAAAGCGUGCGUAGGCGGUUCGUUAAGUCUGUUGUGAAAGCCCCGGGCUCAGCCUGGGAAUGGCAAUGGAUACUGGCGAGCUAGAGUGUGUCAGAGGAUGGUGGAAUUCCCGGUGUAGCGGUGAAAUGCGUAGAGAUCGGGAGGAACAUCAGUGGCGAAGGCGGCCAUCUGGGACAACACUGACGCUGAGGCACGAAAGCGUGGGGAGCAAACAGGAUUAGAUACCCCCGUAGUCCCUGUCUCUUAUAC